CCCUUAGAUGUCCUGGGCCGCACGCGCGUUACACUGAUGCAUUCAACGAGCUUAUAACCUUGGCCGAGAGGCCUGGGCAAUCUUGUUAACGUGCAUCGUGAUAGGGAUAGAUUAUUGAAAUUAUUAAUCUUGAACGAGGAAUGCCUAGUAAACGCAGAUCAUCAAUCUGCAUUGAUUACGUCCCUGCCCUUUGUACACACCGCCCGUCGCACCUACCGAUUGGAUGGUCCGGUGAAGCCUCGGGAUUGUGGUUCUUGCCGCUUUAUUGUGGCGUGACCGCGAGAACUUGUCUAAACCUUAUCAUCUAGAGGAAGGUGAAGUCGUAACA
RNAcentral lists this ribosomal RNA (328 nucleotides) under uncultured eukaryote. Its description in RNAcentral is "partial 18S ribosomal RNA". It matches the Rfam family "Eukaryotic small subunit ribosomal RNA", at positions 1470 to 1796 of the family's 1831-position model. The record is from RNAcentral.